Molecule: long non-coding RNA, 1704 nt
Organism: Mytilus californianus (California mussel)
Lineage: Eukaryota; Metazoa; Mollusca; Bivalvia; Mytilida; Mytilidae
Exons: 3
Source: RefSeq, a predicted model, not a curated record
UUCCUGUUUUCCAAUACUUUGAAGUACGCAGUUGGUAUUAAUUUUUUUUCAACAACGCUAGCCCUUUCUUGUUUUGCAUGGCUAGCUACCAGUCUUAUUUUCCCCUCAGACUUGUUUUGUCAUAUUUCUAGAAUUGAAAAUUAUAUGACUUUGUAACAGUAUGAUAGGUGAUGCACACGUGGCAAGGGACGCCUACUCGAUCGAUACACUUGGUCUCACCCUGUUUGGAGCUCACGAUUCCGUGUAUAUCUUAUACCAUAUUUGUUGGUUAUAUGCCUUGAUUGUAGAAGCGUACGAUACAAGCCGGAAAGAGGUACUAAAGUUUCAUAGCUACAAAAUGACUUCGUAUAAUCCACAGUCAGGGCUUUGGUUCGGAACUUAUAAUCAAUAUAUAUGGAAAGGAACAUAAUUUUGCAAUCAAGUUAGUUUGGGAUAAUGGCAACAUUACCGGUAACGGAGUUGAUGAAAUAGGCACUUACACCAUACAAGGUAGCUGGGAUGUUCUUCAUGGAACAGUACAGUUCCUAAAGCAGUACAAUGGAAAACACAGCGUAAAUUAUAAUGGCCAACUGUCAACGGACAGCUGUAGUAUUUCUGGCCAGUACGAUGUUACAGGCGAUUCUGAUCGCUUCACGAUGUAUUUGAAGGGACAAUAGGCUUAGUUAGACCUUGACAUUUUUUCUAAUAGUGACACACUAUUUUAUGCAGCAGUCCGCGAGUUUUGAACACUUGUCAAAUUUUAAAUGAAUAAAACAUCACUAUUGUAACUUGAUAUGGAUAUAUGUUAUUUUGAUAUUAAGAUAAACAUGUCGGAGUGAUGAAGCAUCAACGGAGAACAAACCCUGAUAUGUUAAAGCAUUACAGUUAACUAAAUCUAUUUCGGAAUCCAAGCUACAAAACAUAAGAAACUGCUAGUUUUAGAAAAGUGUUCUUCUCAUUUAUCUACUAAUUUGUUUCAAUCUGCCCUAUCCAAAAGAUACAGUUUACCCUUUUUCAUGCUUAUACAAUCUAAACAAACUUUCACUACCACUCAGUCGCCAUUGGUUUAGAUGUAGUUUUACUUUAGUACAUAGGCCAAAAUAACAGCCUGAAAUGUAUGAAUUCUGUUAUAGUCAUAGUAUGUACAUAAACAACCGGAAAUGUAUAGUUUUGGUUUAAACAUAGAUAUACAAAAAUAUCAAGAAAUGUAUGAAUUUGAAAAUUGAUAGAACAUAUUAUUAAGCGUAAAAAUAAACGAUCGGUGUAAAUACAUAAAGUCCACAAACGUGCAUCAUCAUCAAUCACCAGUGCAUUAAAGAUUACACAAAAAUAUGAAACUCUGCUAAAAGAAUUUAGUCUUUCUACUCUGAUAAAUAGACGGAAAAUGUAUCGCCUCAUUCUUUUAUUUAACAUUAAAAAUACCUUUCCACUUAUUAAUCAUUUAUGACACGUCCAUUCAUAAUUUUCGAGGAAAAUUAUAUUUAAGUUCCUCAACCGGGAACAUCUAUAUUUUCAUAUAUUUUUCAGUAAACUAUUCAAUGACUUUAGAAAAUCUAGUUUAAAAAACAUCUCUGUCGUGAAAAACACACCUUGUACUAUCAUUUGGCUGAACGCAUAUAUUUAUACAUAAUAUGUUGUAAUUUAAGUACAUUUAAUUUAAAUUUUAUUCAGAGCUGCAUUUAUUGGAAGGUCUAUUUAAAGACAAAUACAAAAGCUGCCGCUUCA